Molecule: long non-coding RNA, 2079 nt
Organism: Ictalurus punctatus (channel catfish)
Lineage: Eukaryota; Metazoa; Chordata; Actinopteri; Siluriformes; Ictaluridae
Exons: 2
Source: RefSeq, a predicted model, not a curated record
CCCCUGAACGCUAUUUAGGAGCAAAAAAGUUUAAACUAGACAUUUUGGAUUUUUAAAUAGCGGGCAGAUGAUGUGUGGUUUUGCAACGUAAUAGGUGAUUUCCAUUUACUGCGAACACUCAAAGGAAAGUGCUAUCAACCCUCUUCUGCAUACUUUGUCAGGAUUCUGGACUUGUUAUGUUGUAUUUUGGCCACUGGAGACCCCCAUUGUUCCCUCAUGCUGUCUUACGGGGAGGUCUAUUAAUUGGGUUAUUACUGCCAUCUGUAGCUCAUUUCUCUGUGUAUAUUUAAGUUGCCCUGUUCCUCAGUUUCCUUGUUUGGUGUUUAGUGCUGCUAGGCCAGCCCUUCAUGGCUCACUUAAGUAUCCCUGUUUUUUUCCAUCGCUUGUGGAAUCACACUAAAAUUUAUGCACCAGAAAGAGGCAAAACGUCAUUGACGACACUCACUUCUGCUGCAGGUCGAGAAGACUCUGUUCGGCUCUCUGCAGGCCAUCCAGGUCUUUCAUCAUCUUGCUCAUAUGGUCCCUCGAGUUGCGGUUCUGGAUGUAGGCAAACCAGCAGCCUGCUAUACCAAUUAUGAUGGACACCACUAGUACCAAGUCCUUUAAGUGGCUGUUCCUGCCCGCUGUUAAAAAUAACAAGAAUCAAUAGAUCAGUUGAACGUUUAGUGAGCAUCUGUUUUUUUUGUUUUUUUUUUUAAAUGAUGUGCAGGGUUGUUUUUUUCAACAUUUUUCAAUGGAACUGAUUAAGAAACAUGAAUCUUAAAUUAUUAACUGUGUAUGUUUCUCAAUGGACUGAUCACACUGGUUGAUUUAAUGCUAUACUUUGAAUGUUAAUCAUUAGCACAAUUUAGUAGGAGUUAUCUUGAAGCAAUUUACAUUUGAACUGAGUAUUUGGAUUGACAAAAGGUUUUCAUGGCGAAUUAAAGGGAAGAAUGUUUAAUGUCAGUGUAAUUAGAAAAAGUAUCCCUGAAAGCUGUCCCUUUGGCACAGUGCCUGCAAUUUUAGUACGAAAUUUCUAGAAAACAUGCUGGGUUUUUUUUUUUGUAAUUAGGUGUUUCUGGGUCAAAUAUUUAGUUAAGUGUCAAUCAACCAUGUCUAAUAUUUCUAGAGAAGGCAUUAAAAUUGGCCCCAAAAAGUCUGCAUUUUUUCAUGCUAAAUUGUAAUGGAUUAACAGAUUUUAAUUGAGCAUUAAAAUCCACUAAAAUCAGUCAACCGAGGCUACCUCUACAUUAAUCUGGAUAAAUUUGAAAACGCAUAUUUUUCUCUAGAUUUUGGCCUUCUGUGUCACGAACCUCGAAUCGGCACUGAAGCAGGAGCGGGGGGCAGGUGUAGCGCGUCGUAUCGGGAAGUACAAGAAACGUAGUCGUAAGACAGGCAAAGGUCAAGCGAUCGGACGAACAACAUAAACGGGGUCAGGCAGUGAAUGUAGUCGAAACCGGAAACAAGGGUCGAGGAUCUUGGGAAUUUGAGUUCUGAUCUGACUGAGCUGUGACAUUCUGCCUGACAGAAAUGACGCAGGCCAAAGGCUUCUUACAUUUCAUAAGCUGUAAGAUUUUAUCAGACGUUUCGGUGUGGAUGAGCAAUUUUUGGAAAAUGUUAGAAGAUUCCAGUGUACACAGAGAGCAUGUUAAAACAAGUAUGCAGUUUUCAGAUCUAUCUGGAUUAACGUGGUCAUAGCCUGAGAAAUGCCCACAAUAAUAAUGGACCAAAAAUAUUUAGCAACUAAGCUAGCUAGCACUAAUGCUUUCACUAUCAUUCAGAAAUAUCAGGUGGCUAAAUUAGCUUCUUAAUUAAGUAACUUGGUUAGGUAUUACCCAAUUUGAAAUUGCUUCACAGAUUGAGAAACCUCUACAUACCCAUGUUUGAUGAGCACAAACACUUCUGCAGUUUUGCAACAAGUAAAGUUUUAGUACAUAUGCAGUGACUCGUUUUUAGUAGUACAUCAACCACUACUAUUUAAUACAUCAUACGUGAACAUUCAUUCUCCCUCAGACUUGAGUUAAAUUGCAAGAACCAGAAUGGUAGGUUGUGACUCAAUAAGGCACUUGUCUCCACAUGAAAAAGCUAUAUAUAUAUAUA